RNAcentral lists this long non-coding RNA (321 nucleotides) under Sinocyclocheilus grahami. RNAcentral's name for it is "lncRNA (ENSSGRG00000015229.1)". The record is from RNAcentral. Lineage: Eukaryota; Metazoa; Chordata; Actinopteri; Cypriniformes; Cyprinidae.
GAGAGGGAAGAGGACAGACCCAAGAGUAUUCUCAGUGUGCCCAUCCUGAACCACAAAAAUGAGGACUGGUCCAUUGCAUUUUGGCAGGUUAUAGGUGCUGUCAUGGCUGUGAACAAAAGCAGGCCAAGCACAUGUGCAGGGAGCUUUUUCUCAGAACAAGAUGAGAAAAUGCUGUCGUCACACAUGGUGUUGUUCGGACUGAUCCUGGAAAAUUGUCAGCUGUGUGAGAGUUCUGAACAAGAGAGCAAACGCAACCAGAUGUCACACAGACUUUACUUUUACUUAGUUAGGCACUUUUAUCUAAAAUUAUUCAUCUGUUAA